UGGGGAAUAUUGCACAAUGGGGGGAACCCUGAUGCAGCGACGCCGCGUGAGUGAAGAAGUACCUCGGUAUGUAAAGCUCUGUCAGCAGGGAAGAAAGAAAUGACGGUACCUGACCAAGAAGCACCGGCUAAAUACGUGCC
Molecule: ribosomal RNA, 140 nt
Filed under: uncultured bacterium
Lineage: Bacteria
Description: partial 16S ribosomal RNA
Rfam family: Bacterial small subunit ribosomal RNA
Source: RNAcentral